CACUUUCGUUGGAAUACUACAGUCUUUCAGCUUGAUCUGAAGGAACUAAGCCUAAAUUUCUGUAAAAUUUCAUAGACAAUUCAAAAUGUUUAUUGGCCCAGUCCAAAAAGAGCACUUGCACAAUAUGAUCCUGGGUUGUGGUUGGCCUUGUGGAUCAUUGAGUGGACCCUGUGAUGGCUGCUGCGGAGGGUCUUGCUGUGGUGGUUGCUUUCGCGGCUGUUGAUUAUAACACCUAACUGUGUCUUUGGACUGGCAGCACCAAUGUCACUAUCAGUUUAAUACCAAAAAUACACAUGACUCCCGUUCUUCGGAAAUACC
Long non-coding RNA from Drosophila innubila, 318 nucleotides. RefSeq lists it as uncharacterized. The transcript is spliced from 2 exons. The record is from RefSeq and is a predicted model, not a curated record. NCBI's taxonomy places the organism in Eukaryota, Metazoa, Arthropoda, Insecta, Diptera, Drosophilidae.